CCGUCACACCAUGGGAGUGCAUUGCACCAGAAGUAGAUAGCUUAACCUUCGGGAUGGCGUUUACCACGGUGUGGUCCAUGACUGGGGUGAAGUCGUAACAAGGUAGCACUAGGGGAACCUGGGGCUGGAUCACCUCCUUACGGAUGGCACUCAUUUAAGUGACUAAAUUAUCAGACGCUCUAUUAAAGAACAAUUUGCGAAACUGCAAUAAAUUAUUUCAAAGAACAAAGAGUUAACUUUGAGGUUACUUAUUCAAGUAAUUAAGUGCUAAAGGUGAAUGCCUUGGCAUCUAGAGGCAUGAAGGACGUUGUAACUUGCGAUAAGCCCCGGUGAGCCAGUACACAGGCUAUGACCCG
This 356-nucleotide unclassified non-coding RNA is filed under the name uncultured marine bacterium. RNAcentral's name for it is "partial contains 16S ribosomal RNA and 16S-23S ribosomal RNA intergenic spacer". The stretch from base 1 to 140 matches the Rfam family "Bacterial small subunit ribosomal RNA", at positions 1394 to 1533 of the family's 1533-position model. The record is from RNAcentral.